UACGGAGGGUGCAAACGUUGCUCGGAAUCAUUGGGCGUAAAGCGCACGUAGGCGGCUCGUUAAGUCGGAUGUGAAAGCCCUCGGCUCAACCGAGGAAGUGCAUACGAAACUGGCGAGCUUGAAUAUGGAAGAGGGUCGCGGAAUUCCCGGUGUAGAGGUGAAAUUCGUAGAUAUCGGGAGGAACACCAGUGGCGAAGGCGGCGACCUGGGCCGGUAUUGGACGCUGAGGCGCGAAAGCUAGGGGAGCAAACAGG
This 254-nucleotide ribosomal RNA is filed under the name uncultured bacterium. RNAcentral's name for it is "partial 16S ribosomal RNA". It matches the Rfam family "Bacterial small subunit ribosomal RNA", at positions 524 to 776 of the family's 1533-position model. The record is from RNAcentral.